GGAGGUCUUAGCUUAAUUAAAGUGUCUGAGUUGCAGUUAGGAGAUGUAUUAUAUNUAUACAGNCCYU
Molecule: transfer RNA, 67 nt
Filed under: Cyrtodactylus salomonensis
Lineage: Eukaryota; Metazoa; Chordata; Lepidosauria; Squamata; Gekkonidae
Description: tRNA-Ala
Source: RNAcentral